UACGUAGGGACCGAGCGUUGUCCGGAAUCAUUGGGCGUAAAGAGCUCGUAGGCGGUUUGUCGCGUCUGCUGUGAAAACUGGGGGCUCAACCCCCAGCCUGCAGUGGGUACGGGCAGACUAGAGUGCGGUAGGGGAGACUGGAAUUCCUGGUGUAGCGGUGAAAUGCGCAGAUAUCAGGAGGAACACCGGUGGCGAAGGCGGGUCUCUGGGCCGAUACUGACGCUGAGGCGCGAAAGCCAGGGGAGCAAACGGG
Molecule: ribosomal RNA, 253 nt
Filed under: uncultured bacterium
Lineage: Bacteria
Description: partial 16S ribosomal RNA
Rfam family: Bacterial small subunit ribosomal RNA
Source: RNAcentral